GACGAACGCUGGCGGCGUGCUUAACACAUGCAAGUCGAACGGAAAGGCCCCCACCUUGGUGGGGGUGCUCGAGUGGCGAACGGGUGAGUAACACGUGGGUGAUCUGCCCUGUACUUCGGGAUAAGCUUGGGAAACUGGGUCUAAUACCGGAUAGGACCAUGGUUUAGUGUCUCAUGGUGGAAAAAUAUUGUUUUGGUGCAGGAUGAGCUCGCGGCCUAUCAGCUUGUUGGUGGGGUAAUGGCCUACCAAGGCGUCGACGGGUAGCCGGCCUGAGAGGGUGGACGGCCACAUUGGGACUGAGAUACGGCCCAGACUCCUACGGGAGGCAGCAGUGGGGAAUAUUGCACAAUGGGCGCAAGCCUGAUGCAGCGACGCCGCGUGGGGGAUGACGGCCUUCGGGUUGUAAACUCCUUUCGUUAGGGACGAAGCCACACCUUUUUUGGGUGUGGUGACGGUACCUUUGUUAAGAAGCACCGGCUAACUACGUG
RNAcentral lists this ribosomal RNA (488 nucleotides) under uncultured bacterium. Its description in RNAcentral is "partial 16S ribosomal RNA". It matches the Rfam family "Bacterial small subunit ribosomal RNA", at positions 28 to 507 of the family's 1533-position model. The record is from RNAcentral.